RNAcentral lists this ribosomal RNA (292 nucleotides) under uncultured bacterium. RNAcentral describes it as "partial 16S ribosomal RNA". It matches the Rfam family "Bacterial small subunit ribosomal RNA", at positions 505 to 796 of the family's 1533-position model. The record is from RNAcentral.
GUGCCAGCAGCCGCGGUAAUACAGAGGCCUCAAGCGUUAGGCGGAAUCACUGGGCUUAAAGCGUGUGUAGGUGGAUGCCUAAGUGUUUUGUGAAAUCCCACGGCUUAACCGUGGAAUUGCUUGACAUACUGGGUGUCUUGAGCCACUCAGGGGCUACCGGAACUAACGGUGGAGCGGUGAAAUGCGUAGAUAUCGUUAGGAACGCCAAUGGUGAAAACAGGUAGCUGGGGGUGUGCUGACACUGAGACACGAAAGCCAGGGGAGCAAACGGGAUUAGAAACCCCGGUAGUCC